RNAcentral lists this long non-coding RNA (836 nucleotides) under Chrysolophus pictus (golden pheasant). RNAcentral's name for it is "lncRNA (ENSCPIG00010000907.1)". Lineage: Eukaryota; Metazoa; Chordata; Aves; Galliformes; Phasianidae. The record is from RNAcentral.
AUGCCUCUGGGCCUGGGACAGCUUAUAUCCAUUAUAAAAGGCAGCCCAGCUCCUUGCUCACUCAUCCACCGCUCCUGCAUUCUCUUUGGAACCAGGUACAACUCAAGCUUCAAGACAUGUCCUGCUGUGACCAGUGCCAGCCAUGCCAGCCCUGCGGCCCAACCGCCCCCAUCCUCAGCCCCUCCCCGCAGACCCCCGCCGUGGGCUCCUCCACCUCCGCUGCUGUUGGCAGCAUCCUCAGCUCUGAGGGUGUGCCCAUCAGCUCGGGGGGCUUGGACCUCUCCUGCAUUUCCAACCGCUACUGUGGCUCUGCGGGAAGGAGCUGAGGAUGGGUCCAGGCAGGGUCACCACCACGGGAGAGGGCUCAAUGACAACAUUGGAGCUCUGGCACUGUCUGACACAGGGUUCAUUGCAGCUGCUGGCCAGAGGAGUCGGGCCACAGGGCCGGCAUGGCACACACUGGGAGUAGCAGGACAUGACUUGAGACUGGAAGUAAACCUAGGAAAGAGGGUUAAGAGGAAAGAGAGUGUUUGACUGUGUGAGGGGCAACCUGAAUAGCCUCUCAUGAAGGAGCCAAGGCAACUAUUAAGAACACAGAUGGAGGCUGUGACAGGAAGUCAUAUCCCUUUUUCAUGCCAGAACCCUGCAGAGAAUAGCCAGGUUCAAAGAGUGUCUCUUUGAGUGGAUAAAUCCCAGGCCAUUUAAGCUGUGCCCCAGACUCUCUGAGCAGACCUUAUCCCCUCCAUACUCUCCUGAUAGCAAGGAGCUCCAAUCCCCAGCAUAGGAUAGAGUCACUAUUAAAUAAAAUGCCCAUUGAGACAAAGUCUCGUUUUGCA